AUGCAGUCGAGCGGAACGAGUUAUCUGAACCUUCGGGGGACGAUAACGGCGUCGAGCGGCGGACGGGUGAGUAAUGCCUAGGAAAUUGCCCUGAUGUGGGGGAUAACCAUUGGAAACGAUGGCUAAUACCGCAUGAUGCCUACGGGCCAAAGAGGGGGACCUUCGGGCCUCUCGCGUCAGGAUAUGCCUAGGUGGGAUUAGCUAGUUGGUGAGGUAAGGGCUCACCAAGGCGACGAUCCCUAGCUGGUCUGAGAGGAUGAUCAGCCACACUGGAACUGAGACACGGUCCAGACUCCUACGGGAGGCAGCAGUGGGGAAUAUUGCACAAUGGGCGCAAGCCUGAUGCAGCCAUGCCGCGUGUGUGAAGAAGGCCUUCGGGUUGUAAAGCACUUUCAGUCGUGAGGAAGGUGGUGUAGUUAAUAGCUGCAUUAUUUGACGUUAGCGACAGAAGAAGCACCGGCUAACUCCGUGCCAGCAGCCGCGGUAAUACGGAGGGUGCGAGCGUUAAUCGGAAUUACUGGGCGUAAAGCGCAUGCAGGUGGUUUGUUAAGUCAGAUGUGAAAGCCCGGGGCUCAACCUCGGAAUAGCAUUUGAAACUGGCAGACUAGAGUACUGUAGAGGGGGGUAGAAUUUCAGGUGUAGCGGUGAAAUGCGUAGAGAUCUGAAGGAAUACCGGUGGCGAAGGCGGCCCCCUGGACAGAUACUGACACUCAGAUGCGAAAGCGUGGGGAGCAAACAGGAUUAGAUACCCUGGUAGUCCACGCCGUAAACGAUGUCUACUUGGAGGUUGUGGCCUUGAGCCGUGGCUUUCGGAGCUAACGCGUUAAGUAGACCGCCUGGGGAGUACGGUCGCAAGAUUAAAACUCAAUGAAUUGACGGGGGCCCGCACAAGCGGUGAGCAUGGGGGUUUAUUCGAUGCACGCGA
RNAcentral lists this ribosomal RNA (925 nucleotides) under Vibrio sp. RNAcentral's name for it is "bacterial SSU rRNA". It matches the Rfam family "Bacterial small subunit ribosomal RNA", at positions 55 to 964 of the family's 1533-position model. The record is from RNAcentral. Lineage: Bacteria; Pseudomonadati; Pseudomonadota; Gammaproteobacteria; Vibrionales; Vibrionaceae.